Molecule: ribosomal RNA, 441 nt
Filed under: uncultured Pelagibacterales bacterium
Lineage: Bacteria; Pseudomonadati; Pseudomonadota; Alphaproteobacteria; Candidatus Pelagibacterales
Description: bacterial SSU rRNA
Rfam family: Bacterial small subunit ribosomal RNA
Source: RNAcentral
UGGGUAGUCCGCACGAGCGCACCUUACUUUUAGUUGCUACCAUUCAGUUGGGCACUCUAAAAGAACUGCCAGUGAUAAGCUGGAGGAAGGUGGGGAUGACGUCAAGUCCUCAUGGCCCUUACGUGUUGGGCUACACACGUGCUACAAUGGUAUUUACAAUGGGAUGCAAAGAGGCGACUCUAAGCAAAUCCUAAACAGGUACCUCAGUUCGGAUUGCACUCUGCAACUCGAGUGCAUGAAGCUGGAAUUGCUAGUAAUCGCGGAUCAGCGCGCCGCGGUGAAUACGUUCCCGGGUCUUGUACACACCGCCCGUCACACCAUGGAAGUUGGUUACACCUUAAGGCAAAGUGUAAAACCUUUGACUACGGUACGAUCAGCGACUGGGGUGAAGUCGUAACAAGGUAGCCGUAGGGGAACCUGCGGCUGGAUCACCUCCUUUCU